This 253-nucleotide ribosomal RNA is filed under the name uncultured bacterium. RNAcentral describes it as "partial 16S ribosomal RNA". It matches the Rfam family "Bacterial small subunit ribosomal RNA", at positions 524 to 776 of the family's 1533-position model. The record is from RNAcentral.
UACGGAGGGAGCUAGCGUUAUUCGGAAUUACUGGGCGUAAAGCGCACGUAGGCGGCUUUGUAAGUUAGAGGUGAAAGCCUGGAGCUCAACUCCAGAAUUGCCUUUAAGACUGCAUCGCUUGAAUCCAGGAGAGGUGAGUGGAAUUCCGAGUGUAGAGGUGAAAUUCGUAGAUAUUGGGAAGAACACCGGUGGCGAAGGCGGCUCACUGGCUCAUUACUGACGCUCAGGCGCGAUAGCGUGGGGAUCAAACAGG